AGAGUUUGAUCCUGGCUCAGAUUGAACGCUGGCGGCACGGCUAAAACAUGCAAGUCGAACGCGAACGGAGAGUUUACUUUCCUAUUAGAGUGGCGAAAGGGCGAGUAAUGCGUUUCUAACGUGCCCCAAGGUCGAGGACAGCCCGGGGAAACCCGGAUUAAUACUCGAUGACCUCACGGCGCCCAUGGCGCGGUGGGCAAAGAUUUAUCGCCUUGGGAUCGGGGAACGUGCUAUCAGCUUGUUGGUGGGGUAACGGCCCACCAAGGCUUAGACGGCUAGCGGGUGUGAGAGCACGGCCCGCCGCAUCGGGACUGAGACACUGCCCGGACUCCUACGGGAGGCUGCAGUAACGAAUAUUCCGCAAUGGGCGAAAGCCUGACGGAGCAAUGCCGCGUGGGAUGAAGCUUUUCGGAGUGUAAACCACUGUCAGGGGUUAGAAACACAAUGAUCAGCCCCAAAGGAAGAGCCGGCUAACUCUGUGCCAGCAGCCGCGGUAACACAGAGGGCCCAAGCGUUAAUCGGAAUCACUGGGCUUAAAGGGUGCGUAGGCGGACCUGACAGUACGUUGUGAAAUCCCACGGCUUAACCGUGGAACUGCUUCGUAUACUCCAGGUCUUGAGGUCGGUAGGGGAUGCCGGAACUCUAGGUGGAGCGGUGAAAUGCGUAGAUAUCUAGGGGAACGCCAAAGGCGAAGGCAGGCAUCUGGGCCGAUCCUGACGCUCAGGCACGAAAGUGUGGGUAUCGAACGGGAUUAGAUACCCCGGUAGUCCACACCCUAAACGAUGUGCACUAGAUCGUGGAGGUUCUGACACCGACUCGGUCGAAGGAAAACUGAUAAGUGCACCGCCUGGGGAGUACGGUCGCAAGGCUAAAACUCAAAGGAAUUGACGGGGGCUCACACAAGCGGUGGAGCAUGUGGCUUAAUUCGAAUCAACGCGAAGAACCUUAUCCUGGGUUUGACAUGUACGGAUUAACCCCGAGAAACCGGGGCCACGCCCUUUGGGUGGAACGUACGCAGGUGCUGCAUGGCUGUCGUCAGCUCGUGUCGUGAGAUGUCGGGUUAAGUCCCUUAACGAGCGAAACCCCUAUCGUUAGUUGCCAGCGCGUUAUGGCGGGGACUCUAACGAGACUGCCGGUGUCAAACCGGAGGAAGGUGGGGAUGACGUCAAGUCCUCAUGGCCUUUAUGCCCAGGGCUGCACACGUGCUACAAUGGCGCGUACAGAGCGACGCAAGACCGUAAGGUGGAGCAAAUCGCAAAAAACGCGCCCCAGUUCAGAUUGAGGUCUGCAACUCGACCUCAUGAAGGUGGAAUCGCUAGUAAUCGCGUAUCAGCUACGACGCGGUGAAUGUGUUCCUGAGCCUUGUACACACCGCCCGUCAAGUCAUGGAAGCCGGGAGUACCCGAAGCCGCCAUAAAUCAGUGGUGUCGACGGUAAGCUCGGUGACUGGGACUAAGUCGAAACAAGGUA
RNAcentral lists this ribosomal RNA (1470 nucleotides) under metagenome. RNAcentral's name for it is "bacterial SSU rRNA". It matches the Rfam family "Bacterial small subunit ribosomal RNA". The record is from RNAcentral.